Molecule: non-coding RNA, 32 nt
Filed under: Mus musculus (house mouse)
Lineage: Eukaryota; Metazoa; Chordata; Mammalia; Rodentia; Muridae
Source: RNAcentral
UGUGUUCCAGACUUGGAAACUCCGCUCGCCUA